RNAcentral lists this transfer RNA (71 nucleotides) under Marmota monax (woodchuck). RNAcentral's name for it is "tRNA.Asp". Lineage: Eukaryota; Metazoa; Chordata; Mammalia; Rodentia; Sciuridae. The record is from RNAcentral.
GGGUGCAGCUCAGUGGUAGAGCACUUGCCUAUCAUGUGAGGGCCUGGGUUUGAUCCCCAGUACUGGGGUCA